UGCCCAUAAGACUGGGAUAACUCCGGGAAACCGGGGCUAAUACCGGAUAACAUUUUGAACCGCAUGGUUCGAAAUUGAAAGGUGGCUUCGGCUGCCACUUAUGGAUGGACCCGCGUCGCAUUAGCUAGUUGGUGAGGUAACGGCUCACCAAGGCAAUGAUGCGUAGCCGACCUGAGAGGGUGAUCGGCCACACUGGGACUGAGACACGGCCCAGACUCCUACGGGAGGCAGCAGUAGGG
This 239-nucleotide ribosomal RNA is filed under the name Bacillus anthracis (anthrax bacterium). RNAcentral describes it as "partial 16S ribosomal RNA". It matches the Rfam family "Bacterial small subunit ribosomal RNA", at positions 127 to 359 of the family's 1533-position model. The record is from RNAcentral. Lineage: Bacteria; Bacillati; Bacillota; Bacilli; Caryophanales; Bacillaceae.